Long non-coding RNA from Apis dorsata (giant honeybee), 894 nucleotides. RefSeq lists it as uncharacterized. The record is from RefSeq and is a predicted model, not a curated record. The transcript is spliced from 2 exons. Lineage: Eukaryota; Metazoa; Arthropoda; Insecta; Hymenoptera; Apidae.
UUUGAUAUUAAAUUUUUGUUUCAUAAUCACAUUUUUCCAGUCAUUGCAGUUUCCGUGAAAAUAUAACUUAAUGGACCAAAACGAAUUUCUAUGGAGAAGAAAGUAUGCCUGUGGUUUUCCAGGCGGGUAAAAAAGACGGUGCACGCGCCGCUUGCAGAAACGUUUCGUAAAUUCGAAGAAUGGCUGGAAAGAAGUGGCCGCCGCACAAAGCGUGCCGACACAACCGGGCUCGUUUGCCCCGCGGAGGUAAUUGUCUUCUUGGCCGCACGAGAGCGCACGUAUUCCGCAAGCAAAUACACACCAAGAGGCUGGCUUACAUACAGCGUUCUCACGGGAUGGAGAAUAAACACCAUGGUCCGGUCUGUUACCGACUUUUCAACUUUUCGUUUCCUGGACACGGUUUGUUGGAACAUUCCUCUCACUCGUUCAGUUGUCGAUUUGUGGAUAACGAAUUGCAAUGAAUAGAAGAAACUUCUAUAUUGUUUAUAUUGAUGUUAUAAUUUGUGUUCUCUUUUUCAAGAGAAGAAUUCUUGUAAUUGUAAAUCAUGUUAAGAAGAUAGAAAAUGAAUGAAAUUAGAAAAAUGAAAAAAAAAAAAAGAAAAAAACAGUUAUUCUUGAAUUUAAAAUAAAAUUAGAAAAAGAAAUAAUAUCAGAAGAGAAAGAAAUAAAUUAUAAAAUUAUAAUAAAGAUGUUAAUUGUUAAACUAUUUUGUUUCAAAUAGUUAAUAUCUAUUUUGCUCUUCGAUCCCCAGACCGGAAAACCCGUCGAAAAUUUAUCGAGCGCGGCUGUAGAAUGUCUUUUCGUGAUUAUUCUCAGCUUAACGUGCCACGUCUCUCUUUGAUCCUUCGUGAAAUAUAAAUCGAAAGAAACUUACACAGCAGAAUAUUUACGAUA